This is a long non-coding RNA of Sycon ciliatum, 1505 nucleotides long. RefSeq lists it as uncharacterized. Lineage: Eukaryota; Metazoa; Porifera; Calcarea; Leucosolenida; Sycettidae. The transcript has 5 exons. The record is from RefSeq and is a predicted model, not a curated record.
CAGCUCGCUCACUCUUUUCCUCUUCCAUUUUUUAGGGCAAUUGUUUUGUUUGAUAGACGAAGCUUGGGGUCUCUUUGGGUUUGCAACCCUUACCCUCCUGGAAAAAAUCAUAGUUGCUAGACUGCGACACUUCAGACCAGGUACGAUUAGAGCCGCUAAUGGACGACGAGCUAUUUUCCGCUAUCCGGAGCUCAAGCAUUUGAGCCGCUAAAUGGACGAGACUCCUGGGGUAAAGGAUGCAGAGAAUGAGGAGAAAACACUCGUAUGGAGCAGGGAGUAGGUAUUGUACUACUUCCUGGUAUGGAGCACUGAGAAGCGCAUUAGGCGAUUUGAUCGCAGGACGAGAGAGGAGCUGAUGGACGAUCUGUCCAGUGUCCCUCUUGGUUCGGAGCAGCGCCGAGUGCUGACGUUGGGACUUGGUAACCACCGCUGUAGUAUGGGCAAAGGUGUGUUCACUGGGGAGUUGAUCCGUAUCCGUCGGUCUUCGACCCUUGACCACCACGGUCUUCGACCCUUGACCACCACUACGAAGCUGCUGCCGAGCGGCCGAAGCAGGCUUUCCGGGCCCGUGUAUACAAGCGCUCCAUCUUUCAUCUUUCAGACCCGCUCACUAGGAAUGGAUACGCAGGGAAGAGUUCUAGCAUCCGUAGCUGCCUCAGGGGGUGCCACUUCUCCCAUCAGCGUCGACUAAUCCGCCGAAAAUGUGCUCGCGCAUUAGAAGGAGGUGAAAGAUGCACCUGCAGGAGAAUACAUGCUUAAGAGAAGGCAGAAACAUGCCCGGAUCCACCAGAACUAGUGCUGGCAAGUCAACAGAGGCGAGUACUGAUAAUGUUCCAGAUUGUGGUAGGAUCACAUAAGCAAAAUUGACACUGGGAGGCACGGCGGUGGGUCAGCUCAUGGCCAGCGCCAGCUCCAGUGGAUAUCACGUGCAUCCAGUUCUAGUACUAUAGUAUGACUGCUACAAAGUAGUGCGGCCCAAAUAGAACUCGGGUCAGGUGCCGAAGAACUGGGGGGGGGGGGGGGGGGCAUGUGUCAAUGAAUGGUAAUAACUCCGGAAAUCAUGCUGGUGUAUCGAGGGCGUGGGCCAAUGAAGUGCUGGAUUGAUGGUGGACGACUGUACUGCAAUCUUGGCUGGUCCCACUAUCGCAGAGACAGCACUUCCUGGUGCAACCACCCUAUCCUGCAAUCUAUAUAAUAAUUAUUAUAAGAGAUUUGUGUGAACGAUUUUAGCAUGAUGCAAGUCAGCUUAUUGUGCUGGGGGCCUGGCUACAUGUCACUAUAGCUUUUUAUAGACUCGAUCACCGCAUUACGCUGCCUUGCGUUGACUUGAUUGAGCACUCUUUUCGGUUAGUGUCAAAGGUAUAUGUAAUAUGUAUCUGCCUCCGUGCAAAGCUCUCUUUGUGCGUGUCUUGCAGAUAGCUCGCUGACUUUGAUGCUUUGAGCCAUUUUCAAAUUGCUUUUUUUGUUCAUUUCAUAUAGACCGUAUUGCCAUUUGUUUAACCUCC